Molecule: long non-coding RNA, 779 nt
Filed under: Brassica rapa (field mustard)
Lineage: Eukaryota; Viridiplantae; Streptophyta; Magnoliopsida; Brassicales; Brassicaceae
Description: long non-coding RNA (BRAP_LNC001344)
Source: RNAcentral
AAAGUUCCUGGUAAAAGAGUAUGUUCUCUUCUUUUCCUUCUAACCAUGAAUUGUUGAUUUUCUUAGCAUGUGUGGACUGUUUACUAUGAACAAGUUUUGUGUUGCUCUAUACUAUUUCUAAUUAUCAGUUUUUGAAUGUGUAGGAGGGGAUGAUAAGCUAGAUGGAGAUGCUACUAUGAACAAGUUUUCCAGCAAUUUAUACUAGAGUAUGGGUGAGGACGUGAGACACGCACAAGCCUUGCACAUACCAAUUUCUCUUUUGGUCUUCUAUUUUAACAACUUAUCCUUUCACCUUUCCCGUCACGAUAUACCUUCUCGCGUGGUUUUGGAUUUGCAAGAAACACUUUUGAAAACAAAACAGGAAGUUGCGUUGGAGGAUAAAAUCACAUACUAAGGGCAAACAAAAGAAUACUCCACAAGCCGUCUUCACUUUUUUUUUUUUUUUUUUGAAUUAUACAUGGGUAUUAUGGCUCCACAGAAAUUGUCCAGACUAAUCACGUGUUGCCAUGUGUCGGUCCCUGGCAAUGUCGAAAUACUAAUUCUCCAAUGGCGGGGACUCUAACCCUGGUGGCUUCACCGUAUUGGGCUUUUGCCAUCGAGUUAAUCACCACCAGGCCACAAGCCCUGGUUCGCGUCUUCACUUCUGUUGGAUAUUAUACAGAUUCAAUGAAAGAGUUUGUACCUACACUUGAAACCAGAUCAUGAUCUGCUUAGGCUUGAUAUUUAUUUACUCAAAAUUGAACACUUGGAUACACUUUUGUGGCAGGAGCGAGCUUGGC